RNAcentral lists this transfer RNA (75 nucleotides) under Dehalogenimonas alkenigignens. Its description in RNAcentral is "tRNA-Thr". It matches the Rfam family "tRNA". From Rfam's summary of the family: Transfer RNA (tRNA) molecules are approximately 80 nucleotides in length. Their secondary structure includes four short double-helical elements and three loops (D, anti-codon, and T loops). Lineage: Bacteria; Bacillati; Chloroflexota; Dehalococcoidia; Dehalococcoidales; Dehalococcoidaceae. RNAcentral also lists the same sequence under 2 other names. The record is from RNAcentral.
GCCAGCGUAGCUCAGUGGUAGAGCAGCGGUUUCGUAAACCGCUGGCCGGAGGUUCGAAUCCUCUCGCUGGCUCCA